UACUUCUUCGGACAAUAGUACAAGGUGCUGCAUGGUUGUCGUCAGCUCGUGCCGUGAGGUGUCGGGUAAGUCCCAUAACGAGCGCAACCCCUAUCAUUAGUUGCCAUCAGGUCAAGCUGGGGACUCUAAUGAAACUGCCUACGCAAGUAGUGAGGAAAGGCGGGGAUGACGUCAAAUCAGCACGGCCCUUACGUCCAGGGCUACACACGUGUUACAAUGGCCAGUACAGAGGGCAGCCACCCCGCGAGGGGGCGCUAAUCCUAAAAGCUGGUCCCAGUUCGGAUCGGAGUCUGCAACCCGACUCCGUGAAGCUGGAUUCGCUAGCAAUCGCGCAUCAGCCACGGCGCGGUGAAUACGUUCCCGGGCCUU
RNAcentral lists this ribosomal RNA (369 nucleotides) under uncultured Sphingobacteriales bacterium. Its description in RNAcentral is "bacterial SSU rRNA". It matches the Rfam family "Bacterial small subunit ribosomal RNA", at positions 1013 to 1382 of the family's 1533-position model. Lineage: Bacteria; Pseudomonadati; Bacteroidota; Sphingobacteriia; Sphingobacteriales. The record is from RNAcentral.